Small nucleolar RNA from Acomys russatus (golden spiny mouse), 143 nucleotides. RefSeq annotates it as small nucleolar RNA SNORA48. The transcript has a single exon. The record is from RefSeq and is a predicted model, not a curated record. Lineage: Eukaryota; Metazoa; Chordata; Mammalia; Rodentia; Muridae.
CACCCUGGCCACAAGUAAAGAGACAUCUUGUUGGUGGUGUAGCUCUCCUGUCAGUCUGGGGCAGAAGAGAUGGCAGUCCUUUGUUCACCAUAGCUUGAUGCCUGGCUUGCUGGCCAAAGCUGUUUUAUCCCUAGGACACACAA